GACGAACGCUGGCGGCGUGCCUAAUACAUGCAAGUCGAACGCUUCUUUCCUCCCGAGUGCUUGCACUCAAUUGGAAAGAGGAGUGGCGGACGGGUGAGUAACACGUGGGUAACCUACCCCUCAGAGGGGGAUAACACUUGGAAACAGGUGCUAAUACCGCAUAACAGUUUAUGCCGCAUGGCAUAAGAGUGAAAGGCGCUUUCGGGUGUCGCUGAUGGAUGGACCCGCGGUGCAUUAGCUAGUUGGUGAGGUAACGGCUCACCAAGGCCACGAUGCAUAGCCGACCUGAGAGGGUGAUCGGCCACACUGGGACUGAGACACGGCCCAGACUCCUACGGGAGGCAGCAGUAGGGAAUCUUCGGCAAUGGACGAAAGUCUGACCGAGCAACGCCGCGUGAGUGAAGAAGGUUUUCGGAUCGUAAAACUCUGUUGUUAGAGAAGAACAAGGACGUUAGUAACUGAACGUCCCCUGACGGUAUCUAACCAGAAAGCCACGGCUAACUACGUG
Molecule: ribosomal RNA, 508 nt
Filed under: uncultured bacterium
Lineage: Bacteria
Description: partial 16S ribosomal RNA
Rfam family: Bacterial small subunit ribosomal RNA
Source: RNAcentral